GAGGGUGAAAAGGUGGUGCAAGAGACCACCGGCGUCGGCAGUGAUGUCGGCGGCCAGGCAAACCCCACCGGGAGCAAGACCAGACAGGCGCAGAGGGGUGGCCCGCCCCGCAGGCAGCGCCGGGUAGGUCGCUUGAUCCCGCCAGGCAACUGACGGGACAGAUAGAUGACCGUCGCCCGGCAAGGGGAACAGAAUGCGGCUUACAGGUCAGCCUGGCCU
RNAcentral lists this RNase P RNA (219 nucleotides) under Anaerolineaceae bacterium. Its description in RNAcentral is "partial RNase P RNA component class A". It matches the Rfam family "Bacterial RNase P class A", at positions 150 to 367 of the family's 367-position model. From Rfam's summary of the family: Ribonuclease P (RNase P) is a ubiquitous endoribonuclease, found in archaea, bacteria and eukarya as well as chloroplasts and mitochondria. Its best characterised activity is the generation of mature 5'-ends of tRNAs by cleaving the 5'-leader elements of precursor-tRNAs. The record is from RNAcentral. Lineage: Bacteria; Bacillati; Chloroflexota; Anaerolineae; Anaerolineales; Anaerolineaceae.